AUACUGGUUGAUUCUGCCAGAGGCUACUGCCAUCAGAGUUCGAUUAAGCCAUGUUAGUUAAGGGGACCUUCCUUCGGGGAGGUAACCCGGCAGACGGCUCAGUAACACGUGGACAACUUACCCUUGGGACCGGGAUAACCCCUGGGAAACUGGGGCUAAUACUGGAUAGAGCAUCGGCUGCUGGAAUGCGCGAUGUUCAAAAGCUGAGGCGCCCAAGGAUAGGUCUGCGGCUGAUUAGGUUGUUGUUGAUGUAACGGAUCAACAAGCCCGCGAUCGGUACGGGUUGUGAGAGCAAUAGCCCGGAGAUGGGUUCUGAGAAAAGAACCCAGGUCCUACGGGACGCAUCAGGCGCGAAAACUUUACAAUGUGCGAAAGCGCGAUAAGGGAACUCUGAGUGCCUCCUAAGGAGGCUGUUCAGGUGUCUAAAAAGCAUCUGGAGUAAGGGCUGGGCAAGACCGGUGCCAGCCGCCGCGGUAACACCGGCAGCUCAAGUGGUAGCCAUGCUUAUUGGGUCUAAAGCGUCCGUAGCCGGCUGAGUAAGUUCCUUGGGAAAUUUGACCGCUUAACGGUUAAGCUAUCAGGGAAUACUGCUUGGCUUGGGACCGGGAGAGGUCAGAGGUACUCCAGGGGUAGGGGUGAAAUCUAUUAAUCCUUGGGGGACCACCGGUAGCGAAGGCGUCUGACCAGACCGGGUCCGACGGUGAGGGACGAAGGCUGGGGUCGCGAACCGGAUUAGAUACCCGGGUAGUCCCAGCUGUAAACGAUGCGGGCCAGGUGUUGGCAUUACUGCGAGUGAUGUCAGUGCCAAAGGGAAGCCGUUAAGCCCGCCAUCUGGGGAGUACGGUCGCAAGGCUGAAACUUAAAGAAAUUGGCGGGGGAGCACCACAACGGGUGGAGCCUGCGGUUCAAUUGGAUUCAACGCCGGAAAACUCACCGGAGGCGACAGCGAGAUGAAGGUCAGGCUGAAGACCUUACCGGAUUAGCUGAGAGGUGGCGCAUGGCCGUCGGCAGUUCGUGUCGUGAAACAUCCUGUUAAGUCAGGCAACGGGCGAGACCCGCGCUCACAGUUGCCAGCAUGUUCUUCGGAACGAUGGGCACUCUGCGAGGACUGCCACCGCUAAGGUGGAGGAAGAAGCGGGCCACGGUAGGUCAGUACGCCCCGAAUCUUCCGGGCUACACGCGUGCUACAAUGGACAGUACAAUGGGUAUCAACCCCGAAAGGGGAAGGUAAUCUCCUAAAACUGCCCUCAGUUGGGAUCGAGGGCUGCAACUCGCCCUCGUGAACCAGGAAUCCGUAGUAAUCGCCUCUCAAAAUGAGGCGGUGAAUAUGUCCCUGCUCCUUGCACACACCGCCCGUCAAGCCAGCCGAGUGGGGUUCAGGUGAGGACAUCUCUUUUGUGGUGUUCGAACCAGAGUCUCGCAAGGGGGGCUAAGUCGUAACAAGGUAGCCGUAGAGGAAUCUGCGGCUGGAUCACCUCCU
Molecule: ribosomal RNA, 1480 nt
Rfam family: Archaeal small subunit ribosomal RNA